GCGUUAGUAGUUUAGUGGCAAAAUCGCUGCCUCCCACGCAGCGGCCCCGGGUUCGAUUCCCGGCUGACGCA
Non-coding RNA from Zopfochytrium polystomum, 71 nucleotides. Lineage: Eukaryota; Fungi; Chytridiomycota; Chytridiomycetes; Chytridiales; Chytridiaceae. The record is from the annotation of a GenBank genome assembly.